GCCUAAGAAGCAACAGUUCGAGCGGUGGUUUGUGCUCUGGUGACCUUCACUCAGCUGACUCCCAUCUUUGGACUUGAUCACCUCGAGGAAAGAGCUCAUUGCUCCACAUGUGCUUUCCCAUUCAACACAUUUUUAGUAAGCCUGUACCAACUGCGAGGGCAUUUGUGCCCUGGAUCCCGUCUCCUCCUUAUGUACACUGAAAAGGCCUAGAAACAAGGACCUGUACCUGUGGAAAUCAGCAGACCAAGAGCCAAGAUCUUAGUUUCUGAAUACAACAUUCCCCACUGAAAAGCAACUGGUUCCUUGGAAAAAUAGCUGACUCUAUGUCAGGGGCAGAGAAAAUACAAGGCUCAAGUCAUGUCUAUUUGUCUGACAUCAAAUCCCAAGUUACACUGAAGCAGGACUUAAUAGACUGGGGGGGAGUCCAGACUGG
Molecule: long non-coding RNA, 433 nt
Organism: Molossus molossus (Pallas's mastiff bat)
Lineage: Eukaryota; Metazoa; Chordata; Mammalia; Chiroptera; Molossidae
Exons: 3
Source: RefSeq, a predicted model, not a curated record